Molecule: ribosomal RNA, 1445 nt
Filed under: uncultured organism
Description: SSU rRNA
Rfam family: Bacterial small subunit ribosomal RNA
Source: RNAcentral
ACGCUAGCUACAGGCUUAACACAUGCAAGUCGAGGGGCAGCAUGGUCUUAGCUUGCUAAGGCCGAUGGCGACCGGCGCACGGGUGAGUAACACGUAUCCAACCUGCCGUCUACUCUUGGACAGCCUUCUGAAAGGAAGAUUAAUACAAGAUGGCAUCAUGAGUCCGCAUGUUCACAUGAUUAAAGGUAUUCCGGUAGACGAUGGGGAUGCGUUCCAUUAGAUAGUAGGCGGGGUAACGGCCCACCUAGUCUUCGAUGGAUAGGGGUUCUGAGAGGAAGGUCCCCCACAUUGGAACUGAGACACGGUCCAAACUCCUACGGGAGGCAGCAGUGAGGAAUAUUGGUCAAUGGGCGAGAGCCUGAACCAGCCAAGUAGCGUGAAGGAUGACUGCCCUAUGGGUUGUAAACUUCUUUUAUAAAGGAAUAAAGUCGGGUAUGGAUACCCGUUUGCAUGUACUUUAUGAAUAAGGAUCGGCUAACUCCGUGCCAGCAGCCGCGGUAAUACGGAGGAUCCGAGCGUUAUCCGGAUUUAUUGGGUUUAAAGGGAGCGUAGAUGGAUGUUUAAGUCAGUUGUGAAAGUUUGCGGCUCAACCGUAAAAUUGCAGUUGAUACUGGAUAUCUUGAGUGCAGUUGAGGCAGGCGGAAUUCGUGGUGUAGCGGUGAAAUGCUUAGAUAUCACGAAGAACUCCGAUUGCGAAGGCAGCCUGCUAAGCUGCAACUGACAUUGAGGCUCGAAAGUGUGGGUAUCAAACAGGAUUAGAUACCCUGGUAGUCCACACGGUAAACGAUGAAUACUCGCUGUUUGCGAUAUACGGCAAGCGGCCAAGCGAAAGCGUUAAGUAUUCCACCUGGGGAGUACGCCGGCAACGGUGAAACUCAAAGGAAUUGACGGGGGCCCGCACAAGCGGAGGAACAUGUGGUUUAAUUCGAUGAUACGCGAGGAACCUUACCCGGGCUUAAAUUGCAGAUGAAUUACGGUGAAAGCCGUAAGCCGCAAGGCAUCUGUGAAGGUGCUGCAUGGUUGUCGUCAGCUCGUGCCGUGAGGUGUCGGCUUAAGUGCCAUAACGAGCGCAACCCUUGUUGUCAGUUACUAACAGGUUCCGCUGAGGACUCUGACAAGACUGCCAUCGUAAGAUGUGAGGAAGGUGGGGAUGACGUCAAAUCAGCACGGCCCUUACGUCCGGGGCUACACACGUGUUACAAUGGGGGGUACAGAGGGCCGCUACCACGCGAGUGGAUGCCAAUCCCCAAAACCUCUCUCAGUUCGGACUGGAGUCUGCAACCCGACUCCACGAAGCUGGAUUCGCUAGUAAUCGCGCAUCAGCCACGGCGCGGUGAAUACGUUCCCGGGCCUUGUACACACCGCCCGUCAAGCCAUGGGAGCCGGGGGUACCUGAAGUGCGUAACCGCGAGGAGCGCCCUAGGGUAAAACUGGUGACUGGGGCU